Molecule: ribosomal RNA, 617 nt
Filed under: Qipengyuania seohaensis
Lineage: Bacteria; Pseudomonadati; Pseudomonadota; Alphaproteobacteria; Sphingomonadales; Erythrobacteraceae
Description: bacterial SSU rRNA
Rfam family: Bacterial small subunit ribosomal RNA
Source: RNAcentral
AACGAACCCUUCGGGGUUAGUGGCGCACGGGUGCGUAACGCGUGGGAACCUGCCUUUAGGUUCGGAAUAACAGUUAGAAAUGACUGCUAAUACCGGAUAAUGUCUUCGGACCAAAGAUUUAUCGCCUUUAGAUGGGCCCGCGUUAGAUUAGAUAGUUGGUGGGGUAAUGGCCUACCAAGUCGACGAUCUAUAGCUGGUCUGAGAGGAUGAUCAGCCACACUGGGACUGAGACACGGCCCAGACUCCUACGGGAGGCAGCAGUGGGGAAUAUUGGACAAUGGGCGAAAGCCUGAUCCAGCAAUGCCGCGUGAGUGAUGAAGGCCUUAGGGUUGUAAAGCUCUUUUACCAGGGAUGAUAAUGACAGUACCUGGAGAAUAAGCUCCGGCUAACUCCGUGCCAGCAGCCGCGGUAAUACGGAGGGAGCUAGCGUUGUUCGGAAUUACUGGGCGUAAAGCGCGCGUAGGCGGCUUUUUAAGUCAGAGGUGAAAUCCCAGGGCUCAACCCUGGAACUGCCUUUGAAACUGGAAAGCUAGAAUAUUGGAGAGGUAAGUGGAAUUCCGAGUGUAGAGGUGAAAUUCGUAGAUAUUCGGAAGAACACCAGUGGCGAAGGCGACUUA